ACAUACCUAAAACGUUGCUUCGGCGGGAAUAGACGGCCCCGUAACACGGGCCGCCCCCGCCAGAGGACCCCUAACUCUGUUUCUAUAAUGUUUUUUCUGAGUAAACAAGCAAAUAAAUUAAAACUUUCAACAACGGAUCUCUUGGCUCUGGCAUCGAUGAAGAACGCAGCGAAAUGCGAUAAGUAAUGUGAAUUGCAGAAUUCAGUGAAUCAUCGAAUCUUUGAACGCACAUUGCGCCCGCCAGUAUUCUGGCGGGCAUGCCUGUUCGAGCGUCAUUACAACCCUCAGGCCCCCGGGCCUGGCGUUGGGGAUCGGCGAGGCGCCCCCCGUGGGCACACGCCGUCCCCCAAAUACAGUGGCGGUCCCGCCGCAGCUUCCAUUGCGUAGUAGCUAACACCUCGCAACUGGAGAGCGGCGCGGCCAUGCCGUAAAACACCCAACUUCUGAAUGU
Molecule: ribosomal RNA, 451 nt
Filed under: uncultured Fusarium
Lineage: Eukaryota; Fungi; Ascomycota; Sordariomycetes; Hypocreales; Nectriaceae
Description: eukaryotic LSU rRNA
Rfam family: 5.8S ribosomal RNA (bases 122-275)
Source: RNAcentral